This 397-nucleotide ribosomal RNA is filed under the name uncultured bacterium. RNAcentral's name for it is "partial 16S ribosomal RNA". It matches the Rfam family "Bacterial small subunit ribosomal RNA", at positions 523 to 918 of the family's 1533-position model. The record is from RNAcentral.
AUACGUAGGGGGCGAGCGUUGUCCGGAAUGAUUGGGCGUAAAGGGCGCGUAGGCGGCGCGGUAAGUCUGGAGUGAAAGUCCUGUUUUUAAGAUGGGAAUUGCUUUGGAUACUGUCGGGCUUGAGUGCAGGAGAGGUAAGUGGAAUUCCCAGUGUAGCGGUGAAAUGCGUAGAGAUUGGGAGGAACACCAGUGGCGAAGGCGACUUACUGGACUGUAACUGACGCUGAGGCGCGAAAGUGUGGGGAGCAAACAGGAUUAGAUACCCUGGUAGUCCACACUGUAAACGAUGAAUGCUAGGUGUAAGAGGUAUCGACCCCUUUUGUGCCGGAGUCAACACAAUAAGCAUUCCGCCUGGGGAGUACGGCCGCAAGGUUGAAACUUAAAUGAAUCGGCGGGG